AAGAGCCCGUUGCGGGAAAACCGCACGGCGGGUUCUGUGAGGGGCAUGUUUUCCUCAUUUUUAAAACUAACUAACGAAAGGAGUUAAACAAAUGUCUACUCGAC
Candidatus Scalindua sp. is the source of this 104-nucleotide non-coding RNA. The record is from Rfam. Lineage: Bacteria; Pseudomonadati; Planctomycetota; Candidatus Brocadiia; Candidatus Brocadiales; Candidatus Scalinduaceae.